Molecule: ribosomal RNA, 256 nt
Filed under: uncultured bacterium
Lineage: Bacteria
Description: partial 16S ribosomal RNA
Rfam family: Bacterial small subunit ribosomal RNA
Source: RNAcentral
UACGGAGGGAGCUAGCGUUGUUCGGAAUUACUGGGCGUAAAGCGCACGUAGGCGGCUUUUUAAGUCAGGGGUGAAAGCCCAGGGCUCAACCCUGGAAGUGCACUCGAUACUGCGAGGCUAGAGUCCCGGAGAGGAGUGGUGGGAACUCUCGGUGUAGAGGUGAAAUUCGUAGAUAUCGAGAAGAACACCGGUGGCGAAGGCGGCCAUCUGGACGGUGACUGGACGCUGAGACGCGAAAGCGUGGGGAGCAAACAGG